Molecule: ribosomal RNA, 1236 nt
Filed under: metagenome
Description: bacterial LSU rRNA
Rfam family: Bacterial large subunit ribosomal RNA
Source: RNAcentral
UGAAUACGAGAUGCUACGGCGUCGAAGCAGUCUAUGUCAUACUUCCAAGAAAAGCUUGCACUGUCAUAAACAAAUAAUGCCUGUACCAUAACCGACACAGGUGGGUAGGUAGAGUAUACUAAGGGGCGCGAGAUAACUCUCUCUAAGGAACUCGGCAAAAUGACUCCGUAGCUUCGGGAGAAGGAGUGCCUUAUUUAUAAGGUUGCAAUAACAAGAUCCAAGCAACUGUUUACCAAAAACACAGGUCUCCGCUAAGUCGUAAGACGAUGUAUGGGGGCUGACGCCUGCCCAGUGCCAGAAGGUUAAAGAAGUUGGUUAGCAUCCGCGAAGCUGAUAACUGAAGCCCUGGUGAACGGCGGCCGUAACCAUAACGGUCCUAAGGUAGCGAAAUUCCUUGUCGGGUAAGUUCCGACCCGCACGAAAGGCGUAAUGAUUUGGAUACUGUCUCGGAGAGGGGCUCGGUGAAAUAGACUUGUCUGUGAAGAUGCGGACUACCUGCACCAGGACAGAAAGACCCUAUGAAGCUUUACUGUAACCUGAAAUUGAAAUUGGACUUUACUUGCGCAGUAUAGGUGGGAGGCGUUGAGAAUAUUCUUGCGGGAUUAUUGGAGCCAUCAGUGAGAUACCACUCUUGUAAUGUUAGAUUUCUAACUUUGUAUCAUUAUCUGGUCAAAGAACAGUUUCAGGCGGGCAGUUUGACUGGGGCGGUCGCCUCCUAAACGGUAACGGAGGCGCACAAAGGUUUCCUCUGAACGGGUAGAAAUCGUAUCUAGAGUGUAAAGGCAUAAGGAAGCUUGACUGUGAGACCUACAAGUCGAGCAGGGACGAAAGUCGGUCUUAGUGAUCUGACGGUGCUGAGUGGAAAGGCCGUCACUCAACGGAUAAAAGUUACUCUAGGAUAACAGGCUGAUCUCCCCCAAGAGUUCACAUCGACGGGGAGGUUUGGCACCUCGAUGUCGGCUCAUCGCAUCCUGGGGCGGUAGUACGUCCCAAGGGUUGGGCUGUUCGCCCAUGAAAGCGGUACGCGAGCUGGGUUCAGAACGUCGUGAGACAGUUCGGUCCAUAUCCGGUGUAGGCGUUAGAAUAUUGAGAGGAGCCUUCUUUAGUACGAGAGGACCGAGAAGGACAUACCUCUGGUGUACCAGUUAUCGUGCCAACGGUAAACGCUGGGUAGCUAUGUGUGGAGUGGAUAACCGCUGAAAGCAUCUAAGUGGGAAGCCCACCUCAAGAUAAGUA